GAUUGAACGCUGGCGGAAUGCUUUACACAUGCAAGUCGAACGGCAGCACGGGAGCUUGCUCCUGGUGGCGAGUGGCGAACGGGUGAGUAAUGCGUCGGAACGUACCGAGUAAUGGGGGAUAACGCACCGAAAGGUGUGCUAAUACCGCAUACGCCCUGAGGGGGAAAGCGGGGGAUCGUAAGACCUCGCGUUAUUCGAGCGGCCGACGUCUGAUUAGCUAGUUGGUGAGGUAAUGGCUCACCAAGGCGACGAUCAGUAGCGGGUCUGAGAGGAUGAUCCGCCACACUGGGACUGAGACACGGCCCAGACUCCUACGGGAGGCAGCAGUGGGGAAUUUUGGACAAUGGGGCAACCCUGAUCCAGCCAUUCCGCGUGAGUGAAGAAGGCCUUCGGGUUGUAAAGCUCUUUCAGCUGGAACGAAACGGUGAGCUCUAACAUAGCUUGCUAAUGACGGUACCAGCAGAAGAAGCACCGGCUAACUACGUGCCAGCAGCCGCGGUAAUACGUAGGGUGCGAGCGUUAAUCGGNAUUACUGGGCGUAAAGCGUGCGCAGGCGGAUUGUUAAGCAAGACGUGAAAUCCCCGGGCUUAACCUGGGAAUGGCGUUUUGAACUGGCAGUCUAGAGUGUGUCAGAGGGGGGUGGAAUUCCACGUGUAGCAGUGAAAUGCGUAGAGAUGUGGAGGAACACCGAUGGCGAAGGCAGCCCCCUGGGAUAACACUGACGCUCAUGUACGAAAGCGUGGGUAGCAAACAGGAUUAGAUACCCUGGUAGUCCACGCCCUAAACGAUGUCAACUGGUUGUUGGGGGAGUGAAAUCCCUUAGUAACGAAGCUAACGCGUGAAGUUGACCGCCUGGGGAGUACGGUCGCAAGAUUAAAACUCAAAGGAAUUGACGGGGACCCGCACAAGCGGUGGAUGAUGUGGAUUAAUUCGAUGCAACGCGAAAAACCUUACCUACCCUUGACAUGUCCAGAACCCUGCAGAGAUGCGGGGGUGCCCGAAAGGGAAUUGGAACACAGGUGCUGCAUGGCUGUCGUCAGCUCGUGUCGUGAGAUGUUGGGUUAAGUCCCGCAACGAGCGCAACCCUUAUCAUUAGUUGCUACGCAAGGGCACUCUAAUGAGACUGCCGGUGACAAACCGGAGGAAGGUGGGGAUGACGUCAAGUCCUCAUGGCCCUUAUGGGUAGGGCUUCACACGUCAUACAAUGGUCGGUACAGAGGGUUGCCAAGCCGCGAGGUGGAGCCAAUCCCAGAAAGCCGAUCGUAGUCCGGAUUGUUCUCUGCAACUCGAGAGCAUGAAGUCGGAAUCGCUAGUAAUCGCGGAUCAGCAUGUCGCGGUGAAUACGUUCCCGGGUC
RNAcentral lists this ribosomal RNA (1355 nucleotides) under uncultured soil bacterium. Its description in RNAcentral is "bacterial SSU rRNA". It matches the Rfam family "Bacterial small subunit ribosomal RNA", at positions 27 to 1380 of the family's 1533-position model. The record is from RNAcentral.